RNAcentral lists this long non-coding RNA (1842 nucleotides) under Homo sapiens (human). RNAcentral describes it as "non-protein coding lnc-UTP11-1:9". Lineage: Eukaryota; Metazoa; Chordata; Mammalia; Primates; Hominidae. The record is from RNAcentral.
ACCGCGCCCGCCUCGCCUCCCGCGGCUGCCAGCGUGCACUGGGCGCUCCUCGGCGCGUCUGCCCGGCCCGUCUCGGCUUUCCUUCUCCUUCCUCUAGUCCCAGCGUCACAACUCCGCCGACCUCCUCUGCCCUGAGAGCGCGUCCGGUGCGGGCGGAGUCGGACGGACUCUGGCUUCACGCCUCGCGCGGGCACACCUUCUCCCGGGCACUGAGGCCCAGGGGAGGCAGAGUCCUUCUGGAGUUUGACCCUUGGAUUCCAUCCAGAGCAGCCUCCAAAAUGACACCUUUGAAGUUGUGUAUCGAGCUGGGGGAUGUAAAGGGAGGAGAAGAAAGAAGAUGAAGAGAUACCAGCCAGCCUUAAGGAGUGGACAUCCUGCCUGGUGAAACUGAACAAGACACCUACCGCAUAUGGAGUUUCGCUCUGUCGCCCAGGCUGGAGUGCAGUGGUGCCAUCUCGGCUCACCGCAACCUCCACCUCCAGGUUCAAGUGAUUCUCCUGCCUCAGCCUCUCAAGUAGCUGGGAUUACAGGUGUGUGCCAGCAUACCCAGCUAUUUUUUUUUUUUUUGUAUUUUUAAAGAGACAGGAUUUCAUCAUAUUGGCCAGGCUGGUCUCAAACUCCUGGCCUCACUGAUCUGCCCAUCUCGGCCUCCCAAAGUGCUGGGAUUACAGGCAUGAGCCACCACACCUGGCCUAACAACACCUCUGUUACUGACAGUAGAGUGCUGGAGUGGGUUCCUACUGGCUAACAGAACCCACUGGAGUGGGUUCCUACUGGCAAACGUUUGGGCAUCUCUUCCCAAUUCUGCAUGCAUUGACAUCCCAUUGGUAGCUUGAAAUUGACCAUCGUGGGAGUAUUUACACCACAGAAAUUGGCAAAUGCUACAAAUCAGGACUCCUUUUUUCUUUCAAAAAGCUGGUUGCCCUCUCCCACCGCUCCUACACUGCUGGUAAAAGGCAGCCGCACUGCCUGCUGGAAGACCUGCCAGCUUGGGCUUCAGAGCACUUCUGCCUCAGAUCCACGACGAUCCCUUCUGUCAUCGUGGGACCUUUCCUGGGAUUUGAUUUAGGGCGACGCUUCCUCCUGUCUGUGUCCUGAGUCCUGCCUUCCCUGGCUGGUCCUCUUUGCUUAGUCACCCAGAUCAUUCCCAGACAGCUGCGCCCUGGAUAUGGCUCCUCUCAUGUGCUGCCUGGAAAUGUCUCCUCUCUUCUCACCUGCUGAGAGGUCCUUCUGGGCAGGGACUCGGGCAGAUUCAUUCCUGCCUGCCCCACAUUUCCCUAGCCCAGGGCCUGGCCCGUUGCAGUGCUGAAGGAUGAUUCUGGUAAGAAACAAGGUACUCCAGCUCACAUCUUGCAAUGAUUAUGCCUCCCCCACUCUCCCUUCUCCUUGCAGUUCUCUCUCUUCACUGAUGAUUUUGGAUGCAAUUUAAAAUAAAAAUAUUGAUUAAAAAUGGAAACUAUAUAAAUAAAAAUAAAAACACUUAACAUCAAUGUGUCAUUUGAGCUUUAACAUAAAGAGAAAACAUGUGAAGGUGACAAUUUGUGGACAAUUCCAAAUUAGCAUGAAGUUCUCAGCUGGUAAGUAUCUUGACUUUUUUCCCCUCUCUUGGGGUCUGUGGAAUCCUGACCAGGCAUGUGGUGCAGUAGAAUGGGAGGAACUUGGCUUCGGCCUUGAUAAGCCUGGGUUGAAUCUUCCACUUAUGGGCUUUCUGAAGCUCAGUUUCCUUAUCUGUGUAAUGGGGAGAAAGACCCUACUUCAUGGCGUGAUUGUGAGGCUGAUAGAAAAGGGCACACAGGGGCCAGGCCCAGUGGCUCAUGCCUGCAAUCCCAGCACUUUGGGAGG